GACGAACGCUGGCGGCGUGCUUAACACAUGCAAGUCGAACGGUAAGGCCCUUCGGGGUACACAAGUGGCGAACGGGUGAGUAACACGUGGGUGAUCUGCCCUGCACUUCGGGAUAAGCUUGGGAAACUGGGUCUAAUACCGGAUAGGACCACUGCCUGCAUGGGUGGUGGUGGAAAGCUUUUGCGGUGUGGGAUGGGCCCGCGGCCUAUCAGCUUGUUGGUGGGGUGAUGGCCUACCAAGGCGACGACGGGUAGCCGGCCUGAGAGGGUGACCGGCCACACUGGGACGGAGAUACGGCCCAGACUCCUACGGGAGGCAGCAGUGGGGAAUAUUGCACAAUGGGCGCAAGCCUGAUGCAGCGACGCCGCGUGAGGGAUGACGGCCUUCGGGUUGUAAACCUCUUUCAGCACCGACGAAGCGCAAGUGACGGUAGGUGCAGAAGAAGGACCGGCCAACUACGUGCCAGCCGCCGCGGUAA
This 478-nucleotide ribosomal RNA is filed under the name uncultured bacterium. Its description in RNAcentral is "partial 16S ribosomal RNA". It matches the Rfam family "Bacterial small subunit ribosomal RNA", at positions 28 to 523 of the family's 1533-position model. The record is from RNAcentral.